GACGAACGCUGGCGGCGUGCUUAACACAUGCAAGUCGAACGGAAAGGCCCUGCUUUUGUGGGGUGCUCGAGUGGCGAACGGGUGAGUAACACGUGAGUAACCUGCCCUUGACUUUGGGAUAACUUCAGGAAACUGGGGCUAAUACCGGAUAGGAGCUCCUGCUGCAUGGUGGGGGUUGGAAAGUUUCGGCGGUUGGGGAUGGACUCGCGGCUUAUCAGCUUGUUGGUGGGGUAGUGGCUUACCAAGGCUUUGACGGGUAGCCGGCCUGAGAGGGUGACCGGCCCCAUUGGGACUGAGAUACGGCCCAGACUCCUACGGGAGGCAGCAGUGGGGAAUAUUGCACAAUGGGCGGAAGCCUGAUGCAGCAACGCCGCGUGCGAGAUGACGGCCUUCGGGUUGUAGACCGCUUUCGCCUGUGACGAAGCGUGAGUGACGGUAAUGGGUAAAGAAGCACCGGCUAACUACGUG
RNAcentral lists this ribosomal RNA (468 nucleotides) under uncultured bacterium. RNAcentral describes it as "partial 16S ribosomal RNA". It matches the Rfam family "Bacterial small subunit ribosomal RNA", at positions 28 to 507 of the family's 1533-position model. The record is from RNAcentral.